Solanum verrucosum is the source of this 1666-nucleotide RNA transcript. It is a transcript of the gene named premnaspirodiene oxygenase-like, with no coding region annotated. The transcript has 3 exons. NCBI's taxonomy places the organism in Eukaryota, Viridiplantae, Streptophyta, Magnoliopsida, Solanales, Solanaceae. The record is from RefSeq and is a predicted model, not a curated record.
AUGGAUGCCAUUGGAAGAGCUGGAACUGGAGGGAUUUGUAGAGAUCAUAGAGGUAAAAUUAUUAUAGCCUUUGCUCGAAGUAUUGGUAGGGAUAUUACCAAUAUAGUCAAAGCCAAUGCUGCUUUAAAUAGUCUGGAAUGGUGUUCUCAACAUGAGCUUAGCAAUAUCAAUUACUCCUUAGCUUCAUGGCUUCUCUUCUUCUUCACCCUUUUUAUUGUAAUUAGAAAAUGGAGGAAUAAAAAAAAAAAAAUUGCCUCCAAGUCCAUGGAAACUUCCCAUUAUUGGAUGUCUGCAUCACUUGAUCGGAGGAGGACUUCCACAUCGCGUUCUUAGAAAUUUAUCUCAAAGAUAUGGACCUCUUAUGUAUUUGCAAAUGGGGCAAGUUCCUACCGUGGUCAUAUCAUCACCUAGUAUGGCAAAACAAGUUCUAAAAACUCAUGAUCUCGCCUUUGUUAAUAGGCCACAACUUACAUCUACAAACAUCAUAUUUUACAACAAUAAAGAUAUUGCAUUCAGUCAAUAUGGUGAUUAUUGGAGACAAAUGCGUAAAAUUUGUACUUUAGAACUUCUUAGUACGAAGAUGGUUAAGUCAUAUGGUGCAGUUCGAGAGGAUGAGCUUUCAAAUCUUAUUUCAUCAAUUCGUUCCACGAUGGGUAAUACAAUCAACAUGACACAAAUUAUUUUUCUGUUUUCCAACUCUAUCAUUUGUAGAUCAGCCUUUGGAAAAAUAUGCAAAAAUCGAGACGAAUUCUUAACAAUUUUGAAGGAAGUACUGUUAUUAGGAGCAGGAUUUUUUGUGGGUGAUUUGUUCCCUACCUGGAAAUUACUUCACAACCUAAGAGGUGAGAAAACUAGAAUGGUGAAUGCGCAUAAGAAAGUUGAUGCAGUUAUGGAGGAAAUUCUGAAUGAGCAUAUCGAAAAUAAAGCAGCUGGGAAGAAGGGAAAUGGUGAAUUUGGAGACGAAGAUUUGGUUGAUGUUUUCUUAAGGGUGAAAGAGAACUCCCAACUUCAAUAUCCAAUCACAAAUGACCAUAUUAAAGCUGUGAUUUUUGACAUAUUCCUAGGAGGAACUGGAUCUUCAUCUUCAACUAUUAUUUGGGCGUUAUCAGAAAUGAUAAAGAACCCGAAUGUUAUGAUCAAGGCUCAAAGUGAAGUGAGACGAGUUUUUAAAGGAAAACAAAAUUUUAGUGAAGAAGAAGUUGAAAACUUGACAUACCUAAAGUCAGUCAGUGAUUAAGGGAACAUUAAGGCUACAUACGCCAGCUCCUCUUCUAGGGUCUAGGGAAUGUAGGGAGCAAACAGUUAUAGAUGGAUACACCAUACCUCUAAAGGCUCGAGUACUAGUCAAUGCAUGGGCACUCGCAAGAGAUCCUGAAAGUUGGGAUGAUCCGGAAAAUUUUAUACCAAAAAGAUUUGAGAACUCUUCUAUUGACUUUAUGGGAAAUCAUUUUGAAUUUAUUCCAUUUGGUCCAGGACGAAGGGUGUGUCCAGGGUUGUUAAUGUUAUACAUCCUUUAGCUCAGUUACUCUACCACUUUGAAUGGAAACUCCCUAAUGAAACUAAUCCGAAAGAUUUGGAUAUGACUGAAACGCAUGGAUUAACCGCGGAGAAAAAGGAAAAUCUAUAUUUAAUUGCCAUAGAUUAUAGAAACAAUGAAGAAUUUUGA